RNAcentral lists this ribosomal RNA (2867 nucleotides) under gut metagenome. RNAcentral describes it as "bacterial LSU rRNA". It matches the Rfam family "Bacterial large subunit ribosomal RNA". The record is from RNAcentral.
CGGGCGCAUGACGGAUGCCUUGGCAGCGGAUGGCGAAGAAGGACGCGGCAAGCGGCGAUAUUCCACGGCGAGGCGCAGGCGGCCCGUGACCCGUGGGUCUCCGAAUGGGGCAACCCCGCAGGGCGAUCCCUGCGACCCCGCGCUGAAUCAAAUAGGCGCGGGGGGCGACACCGGGGGAAGUGAAACAUCUCAGUACCCCGAGGAGAGGAAAUCAAACGAGAUUCCGCCAGUAGCGGCGAGCGAACGCGGACCAGCCCAAACCGGGGGAUUCAUCCCCCGGGGUUGUAGGGCCGGCGUAGGUCCGUCGGACGGCAGCGCAGGCGCCUGGAAAGGCGCGCCAAAGAGGGUGACAGCCCCGUGCGCGAAACCGUCCCGGCGGCGGGCCGGGACCCUGAGUAGGGCGGGACACGUGAAACCCCGUCCGAAUCCGGGGGGCCCACCCCCCAAGGCUGAAUACAAGCCGCUGACCGAUAGCGCACGAGUACCGUGAGGGAAAGGUGAAAAGAACCCUUUCGAAGGGAGUGAAACAGACCCUGAAAUCAUGCGCCCCCAGACUGCAGGAGCACGCUUGCGUGUGACUGCAUGCCUUUUGCAUAAUGAGCCUGCGAGUCGCCCUGCGCGGCGAGGUUAAGCCGGAAGGCGGAGCCGAAGCGAAAGCGAGUGCGAAGAGCGCGCCGAGUCGCGCGGGGCGGACCCGAAGCCGGGUGAUCUAUCCGCGGUCAGGCCGAACCCCCGGUAACGCGGGGCGGAGGGCCGAACCAGUUCAUGUUGAAAAAUGUUUGGAUGAACUGCGGAUGGGGGUGAAAGGCCAAUCAAACCCGGUGAUAGCUGGUUCUCUCCGAAAUAGCUUUGGGGCUAGCCCGCGCGGUUCUACGCGGCGGGGGUAGAGCUACCGGUUGACCGAGGGGCCCUUUCCGGGCUGCCGACGUCGGCCGAACUCCGAAUACCGCCGCGCGUACGCGCGGAGUCAGACGGCGGGGGAUAAGCUCCGUCGUCGAAAGGGGAACAGCCCGGACCGCCGAUUAAGGCCCCUGAUAGCGCCCUUAGUGGAUUGUAAGGAUGCGGGGCCGCGCAGACAGCCAGGAUGUUGGCUCAGAGGCAGCCACCAUUUGAAGACCGCGUAACAGCCCACUGGCCGAGUGUCCCCGCGCCGAAAAUGAUCGGGACUGAAGGGCGCAGCCGAAAUCGCGGGAUCGACUUGUUCGAUCGGUAGGAGAGCGACGCCGCCCGGGCGAAGCGGGAGCGGAAGCGACCGUGGACGGGCGGCGUGCGACCAUGCAGGCAUGAGUAGCGACAAGGGCGGCGCGAAUCCGCCCCACCGAAAGUCCGAGGUUUCCCGGGCCAGGUUCGUCCCCCCGGGGUCAGUCGGCCCCUAAGGCCAGGCCGCGAGGCGUAGCCGACGGAGAGCUGGCGAACAUUCCAGCACCCGGGCGUCUUUCGCAGGACCGAGCGGGCCCGGAGGCGCGCGCCUUACUGGAUUGGCGUGCCGCAGGGCGGAGCGCCGGGGCGACCCGGCGCGAAGGCGCCCGAGGCGCCCGCCGAGAAAAGGGUCCUGGGUUACAGGCGUCCGGACCGUACCGCAAACCGACACAGGUGGACGGGUCGAGUAGACCGAGGUGCGCGGGAGAAACCACGUCAAGGAACUCGGCAAAACCGCCCCGUAACUUCGGGAGAAGGGGCGCUCCGCCGUCGAGGGCAACCGAGGCCGGCGGAGCCGCAGCGAAGAGGCCCAGGCGACUGUUUAGCAAAAACACAGCACUCUGCCAAAUCCCAAGAUGACGCAUAGGGUGUGACACGUGACCAAUGCCGAAAGGUCAAGCGGAGGCGUCAGCCGCAAGGCGAAGCGCGGAGGCGAAGCCCCGGUGAAUGUCGGCCGUAACUAUAACGGUCCUAAGGUAGCGAAAUUCCUUGUCGGGCAAGUUCCGACCUGCACGAAUCGUGUAACGAUCUGGGCGCUGUCUCGACGUGGAUCCCGGCGAAGUUGUAAUUCCGGUGAAAAUGCCGGACACCUGCGGAAGGACGGAAAGACCCCAUGAACCUUCACUGUAGCCUGACAUUGGCAUCCGGUCGCCCGCGCGCAGAAUAGGUGGGAGGCUUCGAACCGGCGGCUCCGGCCGCCGGGGAGCCUCCAGUGAGAUACCACCCCCGGGCGUCUGGCUGUCUAACCGCGGACCCCUGGACCGGGGCGCGGGACCGUGUCAGGCGGUCAGUUUGACUGGGGCGGUUUCCUCCCAAAAGAUAACGGAGGAGCUCGAAGUCCGGCUCAGCGCGUUUGGCAACCGCGCGUCGAGUGCAAGGGCACAAGCCGGGCUCACUGCGAGACCGACGGGUCGGGCAGCCGCGAAAGCGGGACCUAGUGAUCCAGCGGCGGAACGUGGCAUCGCCGUUGCUCAUCGGACAAAAGGUACUCUGGGGAUAACAGGCUGAUCGCGCCCAAGCGUCCACAGCGACGGCGCGGUUUGGCACCUCGAUGUCGGCUCAUCACAUCCUGGGGCUGAAGCGGGUCCCAAGGGUUCGGCUGUUCGCCGAUUAAAGUGGUACGCGAGCUGGGUUCAGAACGUCGUGAGACAGUUCGGUCCUUAUCCUCCGCAGGCGCAGGAGGACUGGCGGGAUCGCCCCCUAGUACGAGAGGACCGGGGGCGGGCGGCCUCUGGUGUUCCGGUUGUCCGGCCUACGGGCACCGCCGGGUAGCCACGCCGCAACGGGAUAAGCGCUGAAGGCAUCUAAGCGCCAAGCCCCCCCGGAGAUCAGUCCUCCCCGUGCGCGAGCACGCUGAAGGCCCCCGGAAGACGACCGGGUCGACAGGCCGGGUGCGCAAGGCCCGCGAGGGUCUCAGCAGACCGGUUCUGAUAGGCCGUGCGGCUUGC